This 18-nucleotide non-coding RNA is filed under the name Arabidopsis thaliana (thale cress). The record is from RNAcentral. Lineage: Eukaryota; Viridiplantae; Streptophyta; Magnoliopsida; Brassicales; Brassicaceae. RNAcentral also lists the same sequence under 1 other name.
AAAAGUUACCACAGGGAU